GUGUGGAAGACCCAGUCACUGUGCUUAUGAACUACAACAGGAUCUCUUUGGUGCCUUCUGCCACGCUUCUGACGUUUCUUUGGCCAGAACUGAACACUGACCGCAUCCAGCCCUAGGCCAAGCAUUGUCAUCAAGGAUAUGCUUCUCAGAGCAGAAGUGAAGGACAAAUGCCAGAGACAAAGCAUUUUCUACAGUUCUUCCCACUCUUCUGUUUGUCACAUGGCGUGCCUCAGCAGGGAGGUAGACACAAGUAACAUCUGAGCUCAGAUGCGAGUCUGAUGGCCAGUUGAGAGGUAGGAACCAGAGAUCUAGAUUUGGAAGUUAAUAACAACACUGUUGAUUUAAAAUCCACAGGAGUAGAGGAAGAUGCUUAGAGAUUGCAUGGUCAGAAGAGCCUAGAACAAAUCUGGGAGACAUAAAUGCUUAAACACUGGGCAACAAAGAAAGAGGAGGAGGAACUCAUGGAGGAGCACUAAGAGAAGGGACCACUACAGAGACCUUGGUGAUCUUUUCCCAA
Microcebus murinus (gray mouse lemur) is the source of this 517-nucleotide non-coding RNA. Lineage: Eukaryota; Metazoa; Chordata; Mammalia; Primates; Cheirogaleidae. The record is from RefSeq and is a predicted model, not a curated record.